UUUGUGCAGAACAGAUAAUUCAACAAUUAGCUGAAAAAAAAAUAAUAUUGUUUGGCAAUCUGGAGAGAAUUAUUCAAGAUGUGGAGCAAGAACAGAACUCUGAUUUAGAAAAAGGGUUGAUGAAAAGAUCUGAUGAGAGAGAAAUACAUGAGCUGCUAGUGUUUUCAGCACUAGAAUCAAAAUGUUAUGAACUGGAAGAAAUGGGGAUUCUUUCAUAUAAUCAGCUGGAUGUUAUCAAAAGGAAAGUGAACGAUUUAAAAGAAAAAAGAAAGAGUUCAUUUUAUGGACAUCAUUUACUUUAUCCCAAAGAAUAUCCAGUAGAAAAUAUGCUUGAGAGGCAAAAAGAAGCAUUAAAAGAAUUCCUCCAACAAAGAAAGUAUUUGUUUUCAUAUCUGCGAUCAAGUAUUGAAAAUCUGCAACAAAAAAGCAUUGCUUGGCAAGAAAUUUCUGAUAAGAACAUAGCAAAACAAAAAUAUUUGGCUGCAAAACUAGAAGCAAAUAUGAGAGAUAUACAAGCUGCUUAUGAAAAAACACAGAAAAUAGAAAAGUCCAGAG
This 555-nucleotide long non-coding RNA is filed under the name Notechis scutatus (mainland tiger snake). RNAcentral describes it as "lncRNA (ENSNSUG00000001951.1)". Lineage: Eukaryota; Metazoa; Chordata; Lepidosauria; Squamata; Elapidae. The record is from RNAcentral.